UACGGUGAAUACGUUCCCGGACCCUUGCACACACCGCCCGUCAAGCCCAUGGAAGCCGGGUGUACCUAAAGUACGGUAACCGUAAGGAGCCGCCUAGGGUAAAACGUAGGUGACUGGGGCU
Molecule: ribosomal RNA, 121 nt
Filed under: uncultured bacterium
Lineage: Bacteria
Description: partial 16S ribosomal RNA
Rfam family: Bacterial small subunit ribosomal RNA
Source: RNAcentral